RNAcentral lists this ribosomal RNA (438 nucleotides) under uncultured bacterium. RNAcentral's name for it is "bacterial SSU rRNA". It matches the Rfam family "Bacterial small subunit ribosomal RNA", at positions 34 to 507 of the family's 1533-position model. The record is from RNAcentral.
CGCUGGCGGCGUGCCUUAGGCAUGCAAGUCGAACGGUCUGACUUCGGUCAGACAGUGGCGGACGGGUGAGUAACGCGUGGGAAUCUACCCUUUGGUGGGGAAUAACUCGCCGAAAGGCGGGCUAAUACCGCAUAACCUCUCCGGAGUAAAGGGCAUAACUGCCCGCCGAAGGAGGAGCCUGCGUCCUAUCAGCUUGUUGGUGGGGUAACGGCCUACCAAGGCAAUGACGGGUAGCUGGUCUGAGAGGACGGUCAGCCACACUGGCACUGAGAUACGGGCCAGACUCCUACGGGAGGCAGCAGUGAGGAAUCUUGCGCAAUGGGCGAAAGCCUGACGCAGCAACGCCGCGUGGGCGAAGAAGGUCUUCGGAUCGUAAAGCCCUUUUCUCUCGGACGAGGAAGGACGGUACGGGAGGAAUAAGCGUCGGCUAACUACGUG